GGGGGCCUGGUAGCCACAGUUGCAGGUUGGGCUGGAAUAAUUGUUCCUUCUCUUGAUGUGUCCUUGUUCUCAGGUCAGGUUGAUAUGGCUAGGCGGCCUGCUGGCGAGAUAGUGGGAGUGGGCGGCCCGCCCCUCAGGACCUCUGACCUGGACAGAUGACUGGAUGACUCUCUGGGGCAGCAUUCACCGGAACUCAUAUGGAGAGGACUGCCUGAGAAACCAACCUGUGUGCCUGGGUCAGGUUGAUAUGGCUAGGCGGCCUGCUGGCGAGAUAGUGGGAGUGGGCGGUCCGCCCCUCAGGACCUCUGAUUUGGACAGAUGACUGGAUGACUCUCUGGGGCAGCAUUCACCGGAACUCAUAUGGAGGGGACUGCCUGAGAAACCAACCUGUGUGCCUGGGUCAGGUUGAUAUGGCUAGUGAAGACAGGAGACCAAAAGGCGUUUAGCUGUGCAAGCAAGCCAAGCCCUUCUCCCAGUCCCUCCAAACAUCACUAGUCCUCCACAGGACUUGUCUCACCAUGUGUUGCCUCAGCAAAACUCACCUUUACAAACACAGCUUUGAAGGCCAGUUUUUUGAGUUAAUAAUGUAAACAAAUGUUAUUCUACGACAAACGUAGAAUUCAAGAGAAAAAUGGAGUAAUGAGUAAACCAGACAUUAAAAAAGAUUCUAUAAAUGAUCGAAUUACCUUUAGGCUACUGCAGCUUAGGUAUAAUGUAAGGGGAGUAAUAAUCUACAAAUAAGCAAAUGAGCCAAGAUGACCAAGAUGGAAAUGGUUUGAUUAGGAAUUUGAUUAGGGAAGUUCUGCCAAGGCAGGGAUAGUUGGGGUGGACACCUUUAGUCCCAGCACUGGGGCUUUAUGCAUGCUAAGGACGAGCUCUAUUGCUGGGCCCCACGCUCUAGAGUCAAUGCUCUAAAAUACUGCACAAACUAAUUCUCAGACAUUAACUGCAGGAAGAAUGCUCUAAUCCUAGAUGAGUGUUUUCAAAACAAAACUUAGCAGCGAAGACCAAAAAAUACAGAAAAAGCACCCAAAACAGACGAAAUGCCAGUUCAUCAGGAAGCCAAAACUUGACAGAAAUAUCUCUCAAAUAACAUUUAAUCUCUCUCCCUUUGUUCUAAUCCUGUCCCCACCCAGCAACCACCUGAUGUGUAAUUUGGUUUUCUAAGUGACCAUAGCCAUCGGUCAGAGACACUAAGCUGGGCCCAAAUAAAAGAAGAAAAUAAAUAAGAAGUUAAAUUAAG
Molecule: long non-coding RNA, 1243 nt
Filed under: Mus musculus (house mouse)
Lineage: Eukaryota; Metazoa; Chordata; Mammalia; Rodentia; Muridae
Description: Dxz4 macrosatellite
Source: RNAcentral